Molecule: long non-coding RNA, 305 nt
Organism: Lepus europaeus (European hare)
Lineage: Eukaryota; Metazoa; Chordata; Mammalia; Lagomorpha; Leporidae
Exons: 3
Source: RefSeq, a predicted model, not a curated record
ACAGAAGAUCUUCCAGCCACCAUUUCACUCCCUGAAUGCCUGCAUCAAGCCAGGGCUGGAUUAGGCCAAAGCCAGGAGACUGGAACUCAAUCUGGGGGUCUCAGAGUUACAGAGAGGAAGAGGCAAAGAGAAAUCUUCCAUCCUCUGAUUCAUCCCCUAAAUGGCCACAAUGACCGCAACUGGGCCAAUUGGAAGCCAGGAGCCAGGAGCUUCUUCUAGGUCUUCCAUACAGGGUGUCAUGUAAACCUCAGACCAGAUGUUCAGGAAAUGAUCCCUUCAUCUUUUCCCUAUUCUGUGCAAAGGUA